This is a non-coding RNA of Coturnix japonica (Japanese quail), 312 nucleotides long. Lineage: Eukaryota; Metazoa; Chordata; Aves; Galliformes; Phasianidae. The record is from RefSeq and is a predicted model, not a curated record.
AAGAAGUUUUUCUCACAAGUGUCGCUCUCAAUGCAGCAGGAGUGAAGAAGCCAAGAACUCAGUAAACCCUGAGCUUGUUUUGUUAGUUAAAGUAAGUUAGUUUUCAUAAGGAUGAAAAAGUGCCUCCAGAGACAACACAUUGCUGAGAAGAAUUAGACAACCAAAGUAUUUCUGAACACAGAUAUAUCUGGAGUUCCAUUAAUUUUCUUAAGAAGAUAAAGACCACAUGAGAAGUCACCAGGAAGGAAUUUUUUAAGGGCAUCUAUGUGCACAAAAUAAAAUGGUAAAUACUUAUGAAAGAGCUACAUCUAA